GCCCGUUUAGCUCAGUGGUAGAGCGCGCCACUCGUACGUCGUGAUGGUGAGGUCGGUUGUUCAAUCCAGCCAAUGGGCA
Transfer RNA from Cylindrobasidium torrendii FP15055 ss-10, 79 nucleotides. It matches the Rfam family "tRNA". Rfam says of the family: Transfer RNA (tRNA) molecules are approximately 80 nucleotides in length. Their secondary structure includes four short double-helical elements and three loops (D, anti-codon, and T loops). NCBI's taxonomy places the organism in Eukaryota, Fungi, Basidiomycota, Agaricomycetes, Agaricales, Physalacriaceae. The record is from Rfam.